This 447-nucleotide ribosomal RNA is filed under the name uncultured bacterium. RNAcentral's name for it is "bacterial SSU rRNA". It matches the Rfam family "Bacterial small subunit ribosomal RNA", at positions 329 to 794 of the family's 1533-position model. The record is from RNAcentral.
AUCCAGACUCCUACGGGAGGCAGCAGUGGGGAAUAUUGCACAAUGGGGGGAACCCUGAUGCAGCGACGCCGCGCGGGUGAAGGAGUACUUCGGUACGUAAAGCCCUAUCAGCAGGAAAGAAAAUGACGGUACCUGACUAAGAAGCCCCGGCUAACUACGUGCCAGCAGCCGCGGUAAUACGUAGGGGGCAAGCGUUAUCCGGAUUUACUGGGUGUAAAGGGAGCGUAGACGGCGAUGCAAGCCAGAUGUGAAAGCCCGGGGCUCAACCCCGGGACUGCAUUUGGAACUGUGUGGCUGGAGUGUCGGAGAGGCAGGCGGAAUUCCUAGUGUAGCGGUGAAAUGCGUAGAUAUUAGGAGGAACACCAGUGGCGAAGGCGGCCUGCUGGACGAUGACUGACGUUGAGGCUCGAAAGCGUGGGGAGCAAACAGGAUUAGAUCCCCAGUAAC